RNAcentral lists this ribosomal RNA (323 nucleotides) under uncultured bacterium. Its description in RNAcentral is "bacterial SSU rRNA". It matches the Rfam family "Bacterial small subunit ribosomal RNA", at positions 82 to 422 of the family's 1533-position model. The record is from RNAcentral.
UAGCAAUACGAGAGUGGCAGACGGGUGAGUAACACGUGGGAACCUUCCCUAUGGUUCGGAAUAGCUCAGGGAAACUUGGGGUAAUACCGGAUAAGCCCUUCGGGGGAAAGAUUUAUCGCCAUUGGAUGGGCCCGCGUCGGAUUAGCUAGUUGGUGAGGUAACGGCUCACCAAGGCAACGAUCCGUAGCUGGUCUGAGAGGAUGAUCAGCCACACUGGGACUGAGACACGGCCCAGACUCCUACGGGAGGCAGCAGUGGGGAAUAUUGGACAAUGGGCGCAAGCCUGAUCCAGCCAUGCCGCGUGAGUGACGAAGGUCUUCGGA